GAUGAACGCUGGCGGCGUGCCUAAUACAUGCAAGUCGAGCGAACAGACGAGGAGCUUGCUCCCCUGACGUUAGCGGCGGACGGGUGAGUAACACGUGGAUAACCUACCUAUAUGACUGGGAUAACUUCGGGAAACCGGAGCUAAUACCGGAUAAUAUAUUGAACCGCAUGGUUCAAUAGUGAAAGACGGUUUUGCUGUCACUUAUAGAUGGAUCCGCGCCGCAUUAGCUAGUAGGUAAGGUAACGGCUUACCAAGGCAACGAUGCGUAGCCGACCUGAGAGGCUGAUCAGCCACACUAGGACUGAGACACGGUCCAGACUCCUACGGGAGGCAGCAGUCGGGAAUCUUGCACAAUGGGCGAAAGCUUGACGGAGCGAUGCCGCGUGUGUGAUGAAGGUCUUCGGUUCGGAACACUCUGUUCUUAGGGAAGAACCAAUUUGUGUUUAACUAUACACUUGUUGACGGUACCGCAACAGAAAGCAACGGCUAACUACGUG
Molecule: ribosomal RNA, 497 nt
Filed under: uncultured bacterium
Lineage: Bacteria
Description: partial 16S ribosomal RNA
Rfam family: Bacterial small subunit ribosomal RNA
Source: RNAcentral